This is a long non-coding RNA of Alosa alosa (allis shad), 486 nucleotides long. RefSeq lists it as uncharacterized. The record is from RefSeq and is a predicted model, not a curated record. Lineage: Eukaryota; Metazoa; Chordata; Actinopteri; Clupeiformes; Clupeidae. The transcript has 3 exons.
ACUGUGGGCUGCAGAUUGAAUUUGUCAGGAGGACAGAAGCCAGUCACCUUCCCUACCUGUAUGCAGCGUGGAGCAAAUGACAACAGCAUUGUCAAAGGAGUGUCCAUUUUCUCACCCGGAUGUAGAGACCCUCCUGACCCAUUACAGGCUUCAUAACGGUCACCAGGGAAAAAGCUGGCUCUGCCUCCACCCCAAGUGCAUGUGCAUCUUUAAGACUUCAGGAUGCAGAUGCUGAGGAGGACUAGAGGCAUGAAAAUUGGAAUCUUGACCGUCAUUGAAGACGACCUCGCCAUGAAAGCACCAGACACUGUUACCAAUAUCGCCAUCGUCCUGGAAGAGACUGUUGUUCUACAGGACAUCAAGGAUCUUCCAUCUGCACUGGCCUACCUAUGCGGACUCCUGCACGACAUGGGGUGCCAAUACUUAUGACCCCUGUAUUUUAAGGAAGAACUUUUAUUUAUUUAUGAUACAUUAUUCAUUCACAAA